AUUUCCCAUAGGUUUUGUACAUAGCCAACAUGGCUGCCGGCGGACAAUUUGAAGGAUGAUUUUGGAGGGUCAAUGUUUUAUUCAUGAGAAUGACGUCAAAAUACGCAUAAUGCACUUGUAUGAUUGGAUUAAACGCUAAUGUUUUAUUCAUGUACUCAUGCAUUAAACAUUUUUUUCCGUCCCACAAUUCCCUACGAUAUCUGUGUGAAGUGUCGUUCUUUUGGACUCUGCGAAUUUGAAGUUUCUGAAACGAAAUAGCUAGACUAAUUAUCUGUUUAUAGAAUUGAUGUUCGAAAUCAUGGUUUCUGAGUGAACUUCAUUGGAGCGGAAAAUCUUGGAGGGAACAUCAAUACUAUUCUAAUGACAUUCCAUAGGAAUAAAAAUCCAAUGGGACCAAGUUCUUAGCAGUUCACACCUAGUCAGAAGUACAAAAUUGAGAACCAUGCCGAUCAGCAAGUGUUAGUUACAAUCUAAUGAGGAACAGGAUAUCUGAAUGGAAAAAUUGCAAGGUUUCCCACUUCCUAAGCUGUUUAAGUACUGGUAUCACAACAUAAGUGCCAAGAAGAGAUAUGAAACGGUCUCAAAAUUUUUGCUGGUGCCCCCCCGAUGCCGUGACCCACGGUACGCCACUGCAAGUCUUCAUAAAUUAUGUAGGGUUAUUAAGUUGCAUUUAUUGUUAUCUUCAUUUAAAAAAAAUGUGAAAUGGGCUACCACUGCAAUAAUAUAUAAAUAGACUAUAUUUCAAAAAUAGAUUGAAUUCUAACCACAGUGACAGUAGACAAAUCAAAUUUUGUUAAUGAUUCGCUAAUGUAUUGAUUGGGGAAGGCACUCUUUAGGAUUCUGGCAUUGUGUCCCACCCCCCCCCCCCCUUAUGAGGAGUGCUCUCACAUCAGUAGACUAUUUCUUGUCAGCAAAUUUGAAAGGAAUUUACAAAUUUUUUUGAGUGACAAACUUUUGUGGAAGAAAAUAAACGAAUAUCAAAGGUUUUUAUGCUCUUUUAUGGAAUAUUAACUAUAGGCUCAUCGAGAUCCUUUGAAUGAAAUUUUAACAAACAUUGUACAAUGUAGAAAAAUGUACUUAAUCCUCUUUUUGUACAUUUAUAUACCCACCCCAUACUACCCUUACCCAGUAACAGCCCUUUUUAGCUAUGCAUUGCCUUCAUUUUUUAAAAUACAAUUUAAUGCUUGGUAGAUGCUUAUUAUUAUUUUUAUGUUAAUGUCAAUGUUUUAGAAAAUGGAUUCCUUAAUAAACAUGUUAAUUUUGAAUUGAAUUUUUUGAUCUUGGUAAUUUUCAUUUAUCAAUUAAUUGUGAUGAUGUAUUGCUUCUGAGCUGUUAUGCACAAAUGGCACAAGAUGUUGCACUGUACUGAAAUGUGAUGAUGCCACUGUUACAUGAGAUCAAACAGCAGUCAAUUAAAAUAUUAUUCACGAAAAAUAAGGAUAAGAGUGGGAAAGAAAGUAAAAUGACAGGAGAAUUAUUUGCUUGUAUGCAUAUAGUUAUGUCAGUUUCUGAGAGAGAGACAGACAGAAAGAGAGAGAGAUGGGGGGGGGGGGGGUGAAAGUUCAGUUUGUUUUGAAAGAAGCAAUUAUAAGACCUUACUGUUCAUGACGGGUAACGGGGGGGGGGGGGGCUAAUUAUUUCUCCAAAUUUUUGAAACCUGCAUAUAAAAUGUAUUUUUUCUUUCCAAAUGAAAAUUACACCAGAUUCAUUUUCAGUUG
Long non-coding RNA from Lytechinus pictus (painted urchin), 1718 nucleotides. RefSeq lists it as uncharacterized. The record is from RefSeq and is a predicted model, not a curated record. NCBI's taxonomy places the organism in Eukaryota, Metazoa, Echinodermata, Echinoidea, Temnopleuroida, Toxopneustidae. The transcript is spliced from 3 exons.